Molecule: ribosomal RNA, 468 nt
Filed under: uncultured bacterium
Lineage: Bacteria
Description: partial 16S ribosomal RNA
Rfam family: Bacterial small subunit ribosomal RNA
Source: RNAcentral
GACGAACGCUGGCGGCGUGCUUAACACAUGCAAGUCGAACGGAAAGGCCCUGCUUUUGUGGGGUGCUCGAGUGGCGAACGGGUGAGUAACACGUGAGUAACCUGCCCUUGACUUUGGGAUAACUUCAGGAAACUGGGGCUAAUACCGGAUAGGAGCUCCUGCUGCAUGGUGGGGGUUGGAAAGUUUCGGCGGUUGGGGAUGGACUCGCGGCUUAUCAGCUUGUUGGUGGGGUAGUGGCUUACCAAGGCUUUGACGGGUAGCCGGCCCGAGAGGGUGACCGGGCACAUUGGGACUGAGGUACGGACCAGACUCCUACGGGAGGCAGCAGUGGGGAAUAUUGCCCAAUGGGCGGAAGCCUGAUGCAGCAACGCCGCGUGCGGGAUGACGGCCUUCGGGUUGUAAACCGCUUUCGCCUGUGACGAAGCGGGAGUGACGGUAAUGGGUAAAGAAGCACCGGCUAACUACGUG